Molecule: transfer RNA, 82 nt
Organism: Streptomyces abyssalis
Lineage: Bacteria; Bacillati; Actinomycetota; Actinomycetes; Kitasatosporales; Streptomycetaceae
Rfam family: tRNA
About the family: Transfer RNA (tRNA) molecules are approximately 80 nucleotides in length. Their secondary structure includes four short double-helical elements and three loops (D, anti-codon, and T loops).
Source: Rfam
GCGCGAGUGCCGGAAUUGGCAGACGGGCCGGGUUUAGGUCCCGGUGCCUCAGGGCGUGAGGGUUCGAGUCCCUCCUCGCGCA